This 492-nucleotide ribosomal RNA is filed under the name uncultured bacterium. Its description in RNAcentral is "partial 16S ribosomal RNA". It matches the Rfam family "Bacterial small subunit ribosomal RNA", at positions 28 to 507 of the family's 1533-position model. The record is from RNAcentral.
GAUGAACGCUAGCUACAGGCUUAACACAUGCAAGUCGAGGGGAAACGGCAUCGAAAGCUUGCUUUUGAUGGGCGUCGACCGGCGCACGGGUGAGUAACGCGUAUCCAACCUGCCCAUCACUUGGGAAUAACCUUGCGAAAGUAAGACUAAUGCCCAAUGACAUCCCACGAAGGCAUCCGAAUGGGAUUAAAGAUUUAUCGGUGAUGGAUGGGGAUGCGUCUGAUUAGCUUGUUGGCGGGGUGACGGCCCACCAAGGCAACGAUCAGUAGGGGUUCUGAGAGGAAGGUCCCCCACAUUGGAACUGAGACACGGUCCAAACUCCUACGGGAGGCAGCAGCGAGGAAUAUUGGUCAAUGGGCGAGAGCCUGAACCAGCCAAGUAGCGUGCAGGAUGACGGCCCUAUGGGUUGUAAACUGCUUUUAUAAGGGAAUAAAGUGGGUCACGUGUGACUUUUUGCAUGUACCUUAUGAAUAAGGACCGGCUAAUUCCGUG